Molecule: long non-coding RNA, 1366 nt
Organism: Pseudopipra pipra
Lineage: Eukaryota; Metazoa; Chordata; Aves; Passeriformes; Pipridae
Exons: 2
Source: RefSeq, a predicted model, not a curated record
UAUCUUUAUUGAUGAUUUAGAUGAGGGGAUUGAGUCCAUCAUCAGCAAAUUUGCAGAUGACACCAAGCUGGGGGGGAGUGUCCAUCAGCUGGAGGGCAGGAGGGCUCUGCAGAGGGACCUGGACAGGCUGGAUCCAUGGGCUGAUUCCAAUGGAUGAGGUUCAACCAGGCCAAGGGCCGGGUCCUGCACUUUGGCCACAACAACCCCCGGCAGCUCCAGGCUGGGCCAGAGGGGCUGGAGAGCAGCCAGGCAGGAAGGGAGCUGGGAGUGGGGAUGGACAGGGAGCUGAACAGGAGCCAGAGUGUGCCCAGGGGGACAAGAAGGCCAAUGGAUCCUGGCCUGGCUCAGGAACAGGGUGGCCAACAGGUCCAGGGAAGUGAUUCUUGCCCUGGACUCAGCACUGGUGAGGCCACCCCUGGAGUGCUGUGUCCAGUUCUGGGCCCUCAGCUCAGGAAGGACAUGGAGGGGCUGGAGCAGGUCCAGGGAAGAGCAACGAGGCUGGGGAAGGGACUGGAGCACAAGUGCUGUGAGGAGAGGCUGAGGGAGCUGGGGCUGUUCAGCCUGGAGAAGAGGAGGCUCAGGGGAGACCUCCUCACUCUCUGCAACUCCCUGACAGGAGGGGGGAGCCAGGGGGGGGUUGGUCUCUUUUCCCAGGCAACCAUCAGCAAGACAAGAGGGCUGGGUCUGCAGCUGUGCCAGGGGAGGGUUAGGUUGGAUAUUAGAAAGAAUUUCUUUGCAGAGAGGGUGCUCAGGCAUUAGAAUGGGCUGCCCAGGGAGGGGGUGGAUUCUCCGUCCCUGGAGAUUUUUAAAAAGAGAGUGGAUGUGGCAUCAGUGCCAUGGGCUGGGAACCACAGCGGGGUUGGAUCAAGGGUUGGACUUGAUGAUCUCUGAGGUCCCUUCCAACCCAGCUGAUUCUAUGAUUCUAAGUCAGCCAGAACUGCCCCAACCAACUGCCUGGAGUAAUGACCAGGACAACAUUUCCCAGAGGGAAAGGACUCCCAGCUGGGGUUAAUUUAUUGGUACAACACCCACAGCUGGGAAAGGAAGUCUCCAGUUGUAAUCCCAAGGUGGAAAACUCUGAGGGCCUGCUGCUAAUGUGGGAAUUCACAAUGACAAGUGACAAACACUUAUGAUGCAGGACACAGACUUCCUUCUCCAUUCUCCUCAGGAUAUGACUCCGGGCUACUGUGGUGGAGGUCACAGAUCCCUGAUAGUCCUACAAGGAAUGGCUUUUCUGGCUAGAAAUUCUCACAGGAGCAACAUUCCCUGGCUCUGGUGACAUCUGGCUGCCAGAGGUACCAGAAUUAAGAGCACUUCACUACAAGUGACAUGGACACAGAAGAAUAAUAAACAAAAUACAACAGCA